This 60-nucleotide transfer RNA is filed under the name Sigara septemlineata. Its description in RNAcentral is "tRNA-Gly". Lineage: Eukaryota; Metazoa; Arthropoda; Insecta; Hemiptera; Corixidae. The record is from RNAcentral.
ACCCUUUUAGUAUAAAAGUAUAUUUAACUUCCAAUUAAAAGGUCUUAUUGAGAAAGGGUA